This 299-nucleotide signal recognition particle RNA is filed under the name Cebus imitator (Panamanian white-faced capuchin). RNAcentral describes it as "Metazoan signal recognition particle RNA (ENSCCAG00000002545.1)". It matches the Rfam family "Metazoan signal recognition particle RNA". Rfam says of the family: The signal recognition particle (SRP) is a universally conserved ribonucleoprotein. It is involved in the co-translational targeting of proteins to membranes. Lineage: Eukaryota; Metazoa; Chordata; Mammalia; Primates; Cebidae. The record is from RNAcentral.
GCCGGGUGCAGUGGUGCAUGCCUGUCGUCCCAGCUACUGAGGAGGCUGAGGUGGGAGGAUCGAUUGAGCCCAGGAGUUCUGGGCUGUAGUGCGCUAUGCCAAUCGGGUGUCUGCAGUAAGUUUGGCAUCAAUAUGCUGACCUCCGGGAGCGGGGGACCAUCAGGUUGCCUAAGGAGGAGUGAACCAGCCCAGGUCGGAAACGGAGCAGGUCAAAACUCCCGUGCUGAUCAGUAGUGUGAUUGCACCUGUUAAUGGCCACUAUACUCCAGCCUGAGCAACAUAGCGAGACCCCCGUCUCU